Molecule: ribosomal RNA, 583 nt
Filed under: Chaetomium cochliodes
Lineage: Eukaryota; Fungi; Ascomycota; Sordariomycetes; Sordariales; Chaetomiaceae
Description: partial large subunit ribosomal RNA
Rfam family: Eukaryotic large subunit ribosomal RNA
Source: RNAcentral
CAUAUCAAUAAGCGGAGGAAAAGAAACCAACAGGGAUUGCCCUAGUAACGGCGAGUGAAGCGGCAACAGCUCAAAUUUGAAAUCUGGCUUCGGCCCGAGUUGUAAUUUGCAGAGGAAGCUUUAGGCGCGGCACUUUCUGAGUCCCCUGGAACGGGGCGCCAUAGAGGGUGAGAGCCCCGUAUAGUUAGAUGCCUAGCCUGUGUAAAGCUCCUUCGACGAGUCGAGUAGUUUGGGAAUGCUGCUCAAAAUGGGAGGUAAAUUUCUUCUAAAGCUAAAUACCGGCCAGAGACCGAUAGCGCACAAGUAGAGUGAUCGAAAGAUGAAAAGCACUUUGAAAAGAGGGUUAAAUAGCACGUGAAAUUGUUGAAAGGGAAGCGCUUGUGACCAGACUUGCGCCGGGCAGAUCAUCCGGUGUUCUCACCGGUGCACUCUGCCCGGCUCAGGCCAGCAUCGGUUCUCGCGGGGGGAUAAAGGCCCUGGGAACGUAGCUCCUCCGGGAGUGUUAUAGCCCGGGGCGUAAUGCCCUCGCGGGGACCGAGGUUCGCGCAUCUGCAAGGAUGCUGGCGUAAUGGUCAUCAGCGAC